This 913-nucleotide ribosomal RNA is filed under the name Penicillium vulpinum. RNAcentral's name for it is "LSU rRNA". It matches the Rfam family "Eukaryotic large subunit ribosomal RNA", at positions 38 to 965 of the family's 3401-position model. The record is from RNAcentral. Lineage: Eukaryota; Fungi; Ascomycota; Eurotiomycetes; Eurotiales; Aspergillaceae.
GCAUAUCAAUAAGCGGAGGAAAAGAAACCAACAGGGAUUGCCCCCAGUAACGGCGAGUGAAGCGGCAAGAGCUCAAAUUUGAAAGCUGGCUCCUUCGGGGUCCGCAUUGUAAUUUGUAGAGGAUGCUUCGGGAGCGGUCCCCAUCUAAGUGCCCUGGAACGGGACGUCAUAGAGGGUGAGAAUCCCGUAUGGGAUGGGGUGUCCGCGCCCGUGUGAAGCUCCUUCGACGAGUCGAGUUGUUUGGGAAUGCAGCUCUAAAUGGGUGGUAAAUUUCAUCUAAAGCUAAAUAUUGGCCGGAGACCGAUAGCGCACAAGUAGAGUGAUCGAAAGAUGAAAAGCACUUUGAAAAGAGAGUUAAAAAGCACGUGAAAUUGUUGAAAGGGAAGCGCUUGCGACCAGACUCGCUCGCGGGGUUCAGCCGGCACUCGUGCCGGUGUACUUCCCCGCGGGCGGGCCAGCGUCGGUUUGGGCGGUCGGUCAAAGGCCCUCGGAAGGUAACGCCCCCAGGGGCGUCUUAUAGCCGAGGGUGCAAUGCGACCUGCCUAGACCGAGGAACGCGCUUCGGCUCGGACGCUGGCAUAAUGGUCGUAAGCGACCCGUCUUGAAACACGGACCAAGGAGUCUAACAUCUACGCGAGUGUUCGGGUGUCAAACCCGUGCGCGAAGUGAAAGCGAACGGAGGUGGGAACCCGCAAGGGUGCACCAUCGACCGAUCCUGAAGUCUUCGGAUGGAUUUGAGUAAGAGCGUAGCUGUUGGGACCCGAAAGAUGGUGAACUAUGCCUGAAUAGGGCGAAGCCAGAGGAAACUCUGGUGGAGGCUCGUAGCGGUUCUGACGUGCAAAUCGAUUCGUCGAAUUUGGGUAAUAAGGGGCGAAAGACUAAUCGAACCAUUCUGGUAGCUGGUUCUGCCGAA